AUACGGAGGAUGCAAGCGUUAUCCGGAUUUAUUGGGUUUAAAGGGUGCGUAGGCGGUUUGCUAAGCGGGAGGUGAAAUGCCGGCGCUCAACGUCGGAAGUGCCUCCCGAACUGGUGGACUGGAAUGACUCUGCCGUGGGAGGAAUGUGUAGUGUAGCGGUGAAAUGCUUAGAGAUUACACAGAACACCGAUUGCGAAGGCAUCUCACGAAGGGUUGAUUGACGCUGAGGCACGAAAGCGUGGGGAUCAAACAGGAUUAGAUACCCUGGUAGUCCACGCAGUAAACGAUGAUGGCUAACCGCUGGUUUAUUCGGAUCAGUGGCCAAGCGAAAGCGAUAAGCCAUCCACCUGGGGAGUACGCCGGCAACGGUGAAACUCAAAUGAAUGGGCGGGG
RNAcentral lists this ribosomal RNA (393 nucleotides) under uncultured bacterium. RNAcentral describes it as "partial 16S ribosomal RNA". It matches the Rfam family "Bacterial small subunit ribosomal RNA", at positions 523 to 918 of the family's 1533-position model. The record is from RNAcentral.